This 270-nucleotide ribosomal RNA is filed under the name uncultured archaeon. RNAcentral's name for it is "partial 16S ribosomal RNA". It matches the Rfam family "Archaeal small subunit ribosomal RNA", at positions 477 to 747 of the family's 1478-position model. The record is from RNAcentral.
CAGCCCCUCGAGUGGUGGGGAUGAUUAUUUGGCCUAAAGCGUCCGUAGCCGGCCGAGCAAGUCUUCCGUUAAAUCCAGCGUCUCAAGCGUUGGACCGCGGGAGAUACUACACGGCUAGAGAGUGGGAGAGGUCAGCGGUAUUCUGGGGGUAGGGGCGAAAUCCUUUGAUCCCCGGAGGACCACCAGUGGCGAAGGCUGCUGACUAGAACACGUCUGACGGUCAGGGACGAAAGCUGGAGUAGCGAACCGGAUUAGAGACCCGAGUAGUCC